Molecule: ribosomal RNA, 449 nt
Filed under: uncultured bacterium
Lineage: Bacteria
Description: bacterial SSU rRNA
Rfam family: Bacterial small subunit ribosomal RNA
Source: RNAcentral
AACGAACGCUGGCGGCAGGCCUAACACAUGCAAGUCGAGCGGGGACUUCGGUCCUAGCGGCGGACGGGUGAGUAACGCGUGGGAACGUGCCCUUUGCUUCGGAAUAGCCCCUGGAAACGGGAGUAAUACCGGAUGUGCCCUUUGGGGGAAAGAUUUAUCGGCAAAGGAUCGGCCCGCGUUGGAUUAGGUAGUUGGUGGGGUAAUGGCCUACCAAGCCGACGAUCCAUAGCUGGUUUGAGAGGAUGAUCAGCCACACUGGGACUGAGACACGGCCCAGACUCCUACGGGAGGCAGCAGUGGGGAAUCUUAGACAAUGGGGGAAACCCUGAUCUAGCCAUGCCGCGUGAGCGAUGAAGGCCUUAGGGUUGUAAAGCUCUUUCGUGGGGGGAAGAUAAUGACGGUACCCAAGAAGAAGCCCCGGCUAACUCCGUGCCAGCAGCCGCGGUAAU